GUGCCAGCAGCCGCGGUAAUACGAAGGGUGCAAGCGUUAAUCGGAAUUACUGGGCGUAAAGCGCGCGUAGGUGGUUCAGCAAGUUGGAUGUGAAAUCCCCGGGCUCAACCUGGGAACUGCAUCCAAAACUACUGAGCUAGAGUACGGUAGAGGGUGGUGGAAUUUCCUGUGUAGCGGUUGAAUGCGUAGAUAUAAGAAGGAACACCAGUGGCCGAAGGCGACCACCUUGACUGAAUACUGAACCUGAGGUGCGAAGCUGGGAAGCAAACAGAUUAAGAUACCCUGUAGUCC
Molecule: ribosomal RNA, 291 nt
Filed under: uncultured microorganism
Description: partial 16S ribosomal RNA
Rfam family: Bacterial small subunit ribosomal RNA
Source: RNAcentral